UGGGGAAUAUUGCACAAUUGGCGCAAGCCUGAUGCAGCCAUGCCGCGUGUAUGAAGAAGGCCUUCGGGUUGUAAAGCACUUUCAGCGGGGAGGAAGGCGAUAAGGUUAAUAACCUUGUCGAUUGACGUUACCCGCAGAAGAAGCACCGGCUAACUCCGUGCCAGCAGCCGCGGUAAUACGGAGGGUGCAAGCGUUAAUCGGAAUUACUGGGCGUAAAGCGCACGCAGGCGGUCUGUCAAGUCGGAUGUGAAAUCCCCGGGCUCAACCUGGGAACUGCCUUCGAAACUGGCAGGCUAGAGUCUUGGAGAGGGGGGUAGAAUUCCAGGUGUAGCGGUGAAAUGCGUAGAGAUCUAGAGGAAUACCGGUGGCGAAUGCAGCCCCCUGGACAAAGAAUGACGCUCAGGUGCGAAAGAGUGGGGAGCAAGCAGG
This 429-nucleotide ribosomal RNA is filed under the name Chloroflexota bacterium. Its description in RNAcentral is "Chloroflexi bacterium partial 16S ribosomal RNA". It matches the Rfam family "Bacterial small subunit ribosomal RNA", at positions 355 to 776 of the family's 1533-position model. The record is from RNAcentral. Lineage: Bacteria; Bacillati; Chloroflexota.